UACGUAAGGUCCGAGCGUUGUCCGGAAUUAUUGGGCGUAAAGGGUAUGUAGGCGGAUAAGCAAGUUAGAAGUGAAAUCCUAUAGCUUAACUAUAGUCAGCGGUUAAAACGGCUCAGCUUGAGGUAUGGAAGGGAAAGUGGAAUUCCUAGUGUAGCGGUGAAAUGCGCAGAUAUUAGGAGGAAUACCGGUGGCGAAGGCGACUUUCUGGCCCUAAACUGACGCUGAGGUACGAAAGCGUGGGUAGCAAACAGG
RNAcentral lists this ribosomal RNA (252 nucleotides) under uncultured bacterium. RNAcentral's name for it is "partial 16S ribosomal RNA". It matches the Rfam family "Bacterial small subunit ribosomal RNA", at positions 524 to 776 of the family's 1533-position model. The record is from RNAcentral.